RNAcentral lists this ribosomal RNA (390 nucleotides) under uncultured bacterium. RNAcentral describes it as "bacterial SSU rRNA". It matches the Rfam family "Bacterial small subunit ribosomal RNA", at positions 28 to 420 of the family's 1533-position model. The record is from RNAcentral.
GACGAACGCUGGCGGCGUGCUUAACACAUGCAAGUCGAGCGGUAAGGCCCUUUCGGGGGUACACGAGCGGCGAACGGGUGAGUAACACGUGGGUGACCUGCCCUCAGCUCUGGGAUAAGCCUGGGAAACCGGGUCUAAUACCGGAUAUGACUCCAUGACGCAUGUUGUGGGGUGGAAAGCCUUGUGCGGCCGAGGAUGGGCCCGCGGCCUAUCAGCUUGUUGGUGGGGUGAUGGCCACCAAGGCGACGACGGGUAGCCUGCCUGAGAGGGCGACCGGCCACACUGGGACUGAGACACGGCCCAGACUCCUACGGGAGGCAGCAGUGGGGAAUCUUGCGCAAUGGGCGAAAGCCUGACGCAGCGACGCCGCGUGAGGGAUGACGGCCUCGG